GAAGUAGAGAGGAGACAUUGCUGGAACUGGCAGCAGAGGAGUUAUCCAUCUACGAGGAGACCUGUAGAGAUCAAAUGACGGCACUAAUGAGGAUGGAGGAGGACCGGAGUCACAUGACGGAGAAGAUCCUAAACCUCACCCUAAAGAUCUUCUACCUGCUGACCGGAGAGAGAUUUCCUCUUGUGAAGUCAGGUGAUCAUAUGACCAUCA
Rana temporaria (common frog) is the source of this 210-nucleotide long non-coding RNA. RefSeq lists it as uncharacterized. The record is from RefSeq and is a predicted model, not a curated record. The transcript is spliced from 3 exons. Lineage: Eukaryota; Metazoa; Chordata; Amphibia; Anura; Ranidae.